GCGGGUGUAGCUCAGUGGUAGAGCGUCAGCUUCCCAAGCUGAAUGUCGCCGGUUCGAUCCCGGUCACCCGCUCCA
This 75-nucleotide transfer RNA is filed under the name Rhodospirillales bacterium. Its description in RNAcentral is "tRNA-Gly". It matches the Rfam family "tRNA". From Rfam's summary of the family: Transfer RNA (tRNA) molecules are approximately 80 nucleotides in length. Their secondary structure includes four short double-helical elements and three loops (D, anti-codon, and T loops). The record is from RNAcentral. Lineage: Bacteria; Pseudomonadati; Pseudomonadota; Alphaproteobacteria; Rhodospirillales.